GGGUGAGUACAACGUGGGUAAUCUGCCUCGGAGUGGGGAAUAACACCGGGAAACCGGUGCUAAUACCGCAUACGACCACGGCUUCUUUGGAGGCCGUGAUGAAAGGUUUUAAUCGCUCUGAGAGGGGCCCACGCCCGAUUAGCUAGUUGGUGGGGUAAUGGCCUACCAAGGCAACGAUCGGUAGCCGGUCUGAGAGGACGGUCGGCCACACUGGAACUGAGACACGGUCCAGACUCC
RNAcentral lists this ribosomal RNA (237 nucleotides) under uncultured bacterium. RNAcentral's name for it is "partial 16S ribosomal RNA". It matches the Rfam family "Bacterial small subunit ribosomal RNA", at positions 104 to 339 of the family's 1533-position model. The record is from RNAcentral.